UAACAGUAUUCAAUGAAAUACUCUCUGUACUACAACGUGCACUGUACAGAUUCAUAAAAGAUGAUGAAGGAUAAACAGAGUGAAAAAAAAUCCGAGUAUAAUUAAAAUACGUAUACCUAUUUUGAGCUCUUAGAUAAAUCAUCAAAGGAUGAUUUACAAACAGUUUCUAAAGUAAAAGGAUACGAUGUACUUCAAUGUUGUCCUCAGACGGGAAAAGGAAUAAUACUUGUCUUUGUAAAUUUAUUCCAGCUACAGUCGACGCUUUUAUAACGAUGCAAUCCAGGUAAUUCAACAUUCUGCGGUGUUAAAUAUAUUACAUAUUUGGAUUCUGUAUGCGAUUUGCUUGCAAACUAUGGACUACACUACAAAUUCUAUAAAGUUUUCAACAACCAUGAACUCGCCUAAUGAUGGUGCAAACGCAUGGUCAGUUGGGAUUGCCUCCCUUUUCGGACUGGUUGUUUUAUUCGUGGCUGGUGCGUGUAUUUUUAUGUAUAUUGUGUCCCGCUGUAGAACUUCCCUACAAAAACAAAAAUUAAGAAGUAUGUACGAGAAACUUACAGAUCAUCAGGAGGAUAUGGAAGAUGGCUAUUGCAGAUUAAAAGAUGUAUCAAGAAAAACGACAGAAAGUUGACAGACAAAUUUUUUUUGUUAUUCUAACAAUAAUGUGUAGUUUUAUAGUUUUGACAUUCAAUGAGCAUAGGGGGGAAACUUACAAAAUUGAUGUGAAUUAAUCCUUGGUGUACAUUUUGAAUGUUGUGUUGGGUUUUCGAGACCACACGUACAUUUCUAACGAAUAUGAUUCUUAAGGAAGGAAACUGAAAAAGACGAAUCAGCUCCAUGAUUUUGUAUAGCAUGUAUUUUAUUUAUCAUUGUUUAUCUCUAUGUUUAUUUAUAUAUCAAUUUAUUUCAUGUUUCGGUGUAUAUCAUAAAAAAUAUCAUAAACAAAUUAGAUGCAUACUUAAACAAUCAA
Long non-coding RNA from Magallana angulata, 970 nucleotides. RefSeq lists it as uncharacterized. The record is from RefSeq and is a predicted model, not a curated record. The transcript is spliced from 2 exons. NCBI's taxonomy places the organism in Eukaryota, Metazoa, Mollusca, Bivalvia, Ostreida, Ostreidae.